This 876-nucleotide ribosomal RNA is filed under the name uncultured archaeon. RNAcentral's name for it is "bacterial SSU rRNA". It matches the Rfam family "Archaeal small subunit ribosomal RNA", at positions 21 to 903 of the family's 1478-position model. The record is from RNAcentral.
CCUGACUGCUAUCGGAUUGAUACUAAGCCAUGCGAGUCUUUGUAGUAAUACAAGGCAGACGGCUCAGUAACACGUAGUCAACCUACCCUAUGGACGGGAAUAAUCUCGGGAAACUGAGCAUAAUUCUCGAUAGAUCAUAAUGCCUGGAAUGGUUUAUGGUUAAAAUGAUUCGUCGCCAUAGGAUGGGACUGCGGCCUAUCAGCUUGUUGGUGAGGUAAUGGCCCACCAAGGCGAUUACAGGUACGGGCUCUGAGAGGAGAAGCCCGGAGAUGGGUACUGAGACACGGACCCAGGCCCUAUGGGGCGCAGCAGGCGAGAAAACUUUGCAAUGUGCGAAAGCACGACAAGGUUAAUCCGAGUGAUUUCUGCUAAAGAAAUCUUUUACCAGUCAUAAAACCACUGGUGAAUAAGGGGUGGGCAAGUUCUGGUGUCAGCCGCCGCGGUAAAACCAGCACCUCAAGUGGUCAGGAUGAUUAUUGGGCCUAAAGCAUCCGUAGCCGGCUUUGUUAGUUUUCGGUUAAAUCCAUGUGCUCAACGCAUGGGCUGCCGAAAAUACUGCAUAGCUAGGGAGUGGGAGAGGUAGACGGCACUCAAUAGGAAGGGGUAAAAUCCUUUGAUCUAUUGAUGACCACCUGUGGCGAAGGCGGUCUACCAGAACACGUUCGACGGUGAGGGAUGAAAGCUGGGGGAGCAAACCGGAUUAGAUACCCGGGUAGUCCCAGCUGUAAACGAUGCAGACUCGAUGAUGCAUUGGCAUAAUAGCCAUUGCAGUGUCGCAGGGAAGCCGUUAAGUCUGCCGCCUGGGAAGUACGUACGCAAGUAUGAAACUUAAAGGAAUUGGCGGGGGAGCACCACAAGGGGUGAAGCCUGCGGUUC